ACAGAGGGUGCAAGCGUUAUUCGGAAUCACUGGGCAUAAAGGGCGCGUAGGCGGCCUAAUAAGUCUAUUGUGAAAGCCCACGACUUAAUCGUGGAAGUGCAGUAGAUACUGUUAGGCUAGAGUAUAGGAGAGGAGAACGGAAUUCCUGGUGUAGAGGUGAAAUUCGUAGAUAUCAGGAGGAACAACGGUGGCGAAGGCGGUUCUCUGGACUAUAACUGACGCUGAGUGCGCGAAAGCGUGGGGAGCAAACAG
RNAcentral lists this ribosomal RNA (252 nucleotides) under uncultured prokaryote. Its description in RNAcentral is "partial 16S rRNA". It matches the Rfam family "Bacterial small subunit ribosomal RNA", at positions 525 to 775 of the family's 1533-position model. The record is from RNAcentral.